AGAAGUUUUUCAUGGUUAAUUUUGUCAAAUGCUUUUUCAAUGUCAAUAAAUAGUGCCGUGCAAUAUUGUUUUGUUUCCAAUGCCUGUAAAAUUUCAUUGACGAGUCUAUGCAUUUGUUCUAUUGUGGCGUGUUUAUUCCUGAAUCCUAAUUGAUGGUCCGGUAUUAGUUUUUCUUUUUCUAUUGUUGGUUUUAGGCGGUUAUAUAUUAUGUUAUAAACAAUUGAAUUUUAUACUAGAAAUAUACUAUUAACUGUCAUUGAUCAAUUAAUCUGCCGACGAACUUCUAUUUUACUCGCACUUCGUGUUUGUCGCUUCAAAAAGAUAAUCGAGUAAAGCAGAAAAUCAUGUCCAAUUUAUCGUAAAACAGGAAAUAAUGAAUUUCCGAUUUAAUCGUUCCCAACGACAACAUCAUAAUUCCUGCCAAACGAGUACACGAAAAAUUGAACCGUCUCUUGAACUUUUUCCUUGCAACACGCUUUUGAGCCGAAAGACUGUGACCGUAAGUGGACAAUAAGGAUGCCGCGGAUCCUAUUAUGCCGCGUUCACGGUGUAGCAACGCGUGGGCGUUUGCGACGUGCGUGCACGAGUUUCCAGCGCCUUUGUCGACGUGCUCGUUCUGAAAAAGAACCGAAAAGAGCGCAACAACGAGAAGGAAGAGAGGAAAAAACUGAGAUGCGCUCCCCUUCAGUCAGACAGCUGUCUGACCUGAUUCCACGGAAGGGUUUCCGAUCAUGAUGACAAGGUGGGCGAAGGUUCCAAGGAACAAGUCACUGGCCAGAUGCGUUGUGAGAAACGCGACUAUGUUCUAUUUCGGAAGAAAAAAGUAGUCUGGUGUUCGUAGGGGUGAAAAACCUGAGAACCACGCUCCAUGUGGUGUUUUCAAUCUCAGUGGGUUAGUGUGUAUUUAGAUACUUUCAGGAGGGGUUUUAUGGUUUUCAUAUGGGUCCGUGUCACGUAGAAUCCCGUGAUACGUUUGACAAAUGAAGAGUUCGGUGGAAAAGUGAUAGGAGCGAUGAAAUUUAAUUUGUUAUGUAUCUGUAUGUAUAUUUCUAAAUUAUAAAUGGUAAAAUGCGUUACUACAUACCACGAACUUAUACAAAUUUAUAGUGAAAUAUCCAAUUAUAUAUGUCGGAGGUGAAAGGACAUCGGGGCCUUUCUUUUGGAGUGAUUAGGAAAACCUUCAAUACCCUAGCCCGGACUUUUAUUGUAGCUACCCUUAAGCAAUAAAAAUAGGAAAUAGUUGUAAGACGCUAAUUCGAUUAUGUGUACUCAGGGUUUAUGACGAUGUGCUUGGGCUCGAGGUGACAUAAUGAGUCUCCGAACGUAGCCGCGGUCACGGGACGGACAUAUAACAACAGAGGUAUGGAAUAAUUAUGCAGCUCUCCUUAAAAACAAAGAUUGUCGCCAUUACCUGUAACAUCUUGAAAUCAUCGCCCCGGAACUAAUAACGAUCAGCGAGAAUACAUAAUCACGAUGGUCAAUUCGAGCGAAGGUUUAUCAGACGCCCAUACUUCAAAUCCUUCUCCGACAUAUAUUAUGCUUUUCGUUCGUGGAAAAAUGUGUAUUUGAAAACCGAAUUUGAUCUUACGCUUUUAAAUACAACAAUAAAUAAGUAAGGGUAUGGUACAACUGCAAUGAAACUUGGAUGUGUUUACAAGAAUUUCACAGACAAAUAGCAAAUAUGAUGAAACGGACAGAACCCGAGAGCAUAAUACCCGAACCUCAAUUACGGAUGAGAAGUACGAUAAAUAAUAUAAAUCAGCCAUAUUAUUUCCUUACAAUUUUCAGAAUGUUCUGCAAGUUCUCGGUACACGUGCAAUACGUAGAAACAGAUUUCUACAUCCUUUUUCCUCUCGUUUCCACAUUCACGUGGAUAUUCUUCUUAGAAAUACCUAUAGCUUUUAUUCUCACAUCGACCGCACGUUACCUCGUGCAAUAGUCUUACUUGUUGCAGCAACGCAUUAUAACGAGAAUUCAGCAAGGUCGACCGAUAAAAACGAAAUUUUAUUUAGUUGCAAAUAUUUACGUCGAAUUAACGAUCGUAUUAACGAAGAUUAAACGCGAAGAAUUUCCGAGGAAUCGAAGAAACAUAAGGUUAGGAGGAGAACGUCUAGAAAGAAAAAGACAGACACAACCGUGAUUUCACCUGAGUUCUACACGUGACCGACUAUUAAUGACUCACAAUCGGAUAUCCGUAUGAGUGUGCAGGCCCGCAACAAAUCUCCGCAACAUGUUGACUAAUUAAAUUACCACACUCGUACGAGAGAAACAUUUUUACAUUGAAUAAGACAUUUCUCUUCCGAUAUCUCGUGCUAGGCUGAGAUAAAAGCUCAACGAACGUAAGAUAAAACGAAUAAUACGCCAGUGUGCUUGUUGUCGGUUGAAAAUGGAACGCAGUUAACACGGUUUGGAGCAUCGCGAAACGGAGGGUGAUUCAUCCGUGAUUUCUCGCGCGUCGAAAAAGAAAGGAAGCCGUGGUUGGAACUGCUCUUACAGCCGAUGCAACGCGACAUAAUUGUGUUGCUCGAAAAAGAAACCUUUCUCCGCUCUGGAUGCCGCUAAAUGUAAUAAAACUCGGCCUUGCUUCCGCGUUUCGAGAACCGCCUUUCCUCAAUUAAGAUAAUCCCACCUUUUCAAAAGUUUCGGAGAAAAUGUUUUUCUUUCUCGUACAGGAAAUGGAACGGACAUUGUCCACAAAUGAACGACCAUUUUCGUAGACAUACGGUACAAUGGAUCGAAGCAGAGGAUCUUGGUGAGCGAUAACUUUUAUGAUUAACUUUUGUGAGUGAGUAUUCUAUCGACAGGAAACAAAGAACGUGAAGUUGGUUUUACAAGGAACCCGAAGGAUAUACAUCUUUGUAUCGUGUAGACAGUACGUAUAUAUUUAGAGAAAUUUAUUGUAUUUUAUUUACCGUUUUUUUUUCUUUUUACUUGUACUUUUAAUCCUGUUAUGGUUUACGAAGUUUCUUAUGCGCAGCUUAUAUUUAAUCAUAUGCGUGUACCAUUGUAUUUUUAUUUAUUAUUUCUGUUUCUGUGUUCGAAUUCAGUUUCACUUUAUUUAUUAAUUAACAUUCAAAAAUGAACAGACAUCGUUCGAUCGAACCUGCUAAUACGAAUAACCAUAUACCAGCAUCCAAUACACAUUUUGCAGACCGAUAAAAACUCUCAGCACCAGAAACAAUUCACCGUUAUCCCUGCCAGAAACACACAUCGAACGAGGAUAAAGAUGAAAAAGAAAGAAGAAAUAAAACAGAUGUCAGAUCUGUUCGAAAAGAAGAAAGAAACGCACAUCGCUUUCACCCGUGAUUUAUUUACGUUUUACGCAUUACUUUCGCGCGCGACUCGUAUUUUCAUGCAUUACCAUUCACCGAGUGUGCAUCAGGCUGAGAAUGCGUUUAGAAAUGGCAUACUCUACAGCUGACCACGAGUUACUUGCACUUAUUGCAUUUGAAACGAUCGGUGCGCAACAGUCGCGCCAUACAGAUGACAGGUUGUUCAGGUCCAUAAAUCGAGAAAUACAAAAGAUCGACGAUGCUUAUAGAAGCUUUUAAUUUAAUCUUACAUUUACUAAAUUUAACUUUAAUUUAGGAAAUUUGCUAAAAUCUUCAGGUUGUAAGAGGUUUGGGUUAUCAAGGUUCAACUAUAUCUAUAUCAUGUUGUUGCUAUAAAUCAACUUAUGGAAGUCAGUCAUUCGUUUCUUGGGAAUUGGACAUUAACCAUAUACACGUGUACUGAAAUUGAAAAAUUAAGCUUGAUCUUUGGAGAUAAUAUUUCGAUAAUUAGAAAUGAUAGAGUAAAGAGAGAUUCAUUUCGUAUAUCGUUGACUAACUCUGGAAUAAUUUCACUAUUUCAGGCUGAUUGCUGGCUGGUUUAAGACUCUGGUUAAUAAUUACAAGGUGUAAGUACGCGUUGCCAGUUGUGAUUUUCGAGCGGCCAGAACGAGUGCAAACAGACGUGUAUAAUCAUCGAAAUGAUAGUCUACAUCGGUACGAUGCGAUGGCUAUUUUCACUGAAACGCAGACGAAGCGGAACGAUAGGUGUAAAAAUUAUAUAAUCUGACGAAGGAGAAAUCUUUAAAAACACUUGCGUUAAAUAAGAAUUACUUUCACCCCUAUGUGUAAUUUUAAUGUUAUCAUUUGGACGUUGAAGCGGGUAUUAUAGCGAAUAGAUAAAAGCAAUGAUGCACUUAGACAUUAAGUUUAAUUAUAGUAGCACCAUCAUUAUGUAGUGAACUGAGAAUUACAAUGGUGAAAAUUGGGCUACUAAUAUUUUUGACAAAAUAAAUUUCUUAGGAAUAUCAUGGAAAUAUCUGUGUGUGUUUAUCAAGGCAGAGAGAUAUGACACGAAACAAAGCGAAGUUGGAUUUGAAUAUGAAAUCGAAUUGAAGAUUAAAAAUAAUCACCUACGAUACUACAAGGCAAUUUU
Molecule: long non-coding RNA, 4425 nt
Organism: Bombus pyrosoma
Lineage: Eukaryota; Metazoa; Arthropoda; Insecta; Hymenoptera; Apidae
Exons: 3
Source: RefSeq, a predicted model, not a curated record